This 255-nucleotide ribosomal RNA is filed under the name uncultured Diderma sp. RNAcentral describes it as "partial 18S ribosomal RNA". It matches the Rfam family "Eukaryotic small subunit ribosomal RNA", at positions 28 to 241 of the family's 1831-position model. Lineage: Eukaryota; Evosea; Eumycetozoa; Physariida; Didymiaceae. The record is from RNAcentral.
ACGCUUCUCCUAAAGACUAAGCCAUGCAUGCUUUCGAAUAAGAGGUAGCAAUUCUCUCUGAAUCUGCGAACGGCUCCGCACACCAGUUGUAAACUAUAGCAAGCAAGUUCGUCUCCGGCCCUCACGGGCCGCUGUCGGGCGAUAAGGAUAACCCUGGUAAUUCUGAGGCUAAUACUAGAUCGUACUCCCUGGCUGACCGGCAACGGAAGGUUGGGGGACGUGUGAAUUAGGCGCAAGAAAAGCCGGGAAAGGAUG